RNAcentral lists this small RNA (152 nucleotides) under Arabidopsis thaliana (thale cress). RNAcentral's name for it is "ATSL222270". Lineage: Eukaryota; Viridiplantae; Streptophyta; Magnoliopsida; Brassicales; Brassicaceae. The record is from RNAcentral.
AUAGACAUAUAAAUAUCAUUAUCUAGUGAUAUUUUAUCAUAGAUUAUUGUCAUCGUAUUACUUAUGAUAACUUUGUAGGAGUUUUAAUGAUUUUCAAAACAAAUAUUAGUUUGAUCAAUAUAUUUUGACAAACUCAACAUAAAUAUACAUUU